CUUAAUACAUGCAAGUCGAGCGAGAACCAGGGCUUCGGCUCUGGGGACAGCGGCGAACGGGUGAGUAACACGUGGGUAAUCAACCCCCGACACCGGGAUAGCCCAGGGAAACUUGGAUUAAUACCGGAUGCUCCGUCUGGCUUUAGGGCCGGCCGGAAAAGGGUAGCUUCGGCCUCCGGUCGGGGACGAGCCCGCGGCGGAUUAGCUUGUUGGUGAGGUAAAGGCUCACCAAGGCGACAAUCCGUAGCUGGUCUGAGAGGACGAUCAGCCACACUGGGACUGAGACACGGCCCAGACUCCUACGGGAGGCAGCAGUAGGGAAUCUUGCGCAAUGGGCGAAAGCCUGACGCAGCGACGCCGCGUGAGGGAAGAAGGCCUUCGGGUUGUAAACCUCUUUCAGGAGGGACGAAGCCACUCGGGUUAAUAGCCUAGAGGGUGACGGUACCUCCAGAAGAAGCCCCGGCUAACUACGUGCCAGCAGCCGCGGUAAUACGUAGGGGGCAAGCGUUGUCCGGAUUUAUUGGGCGUAAAGAGCGUGUAGGCGGCCAAGCAGGUCCGCUGUGAAAACUCGAGGCUCAACCUCGAGAGGUCGGUGGAAACCGUUUGGCUAGAGUCCGGAAGAGGAGAGUGGAAUUCCCGGUGUAGCGGUGAAAUGCGCAGAUAUCGGGAAGAACACCCGUGGCGAAGGCGGCUCUCUGGGACGGUACUGACGCUGAGACGCGAAAGCGUGGGGAGCGAACAGGAUUAGAUACCCUGGUAGUCCACGCCGU
This 770-nucleotide ribosomal RNA is filed under the name uncultured Actinomycetes bacterium. RNAcentral describes it as "bacterial SSU rRNA". It matches the Rfam family "Bacterial small subunit ribosomal RNA", at positions 47 to 803 of the family's 1533-position model. The record is from RNAcentral. Lineage: Bacteria; Bacillati; Actinomycetota; Actinomycetes.